Lutra lutra (Eurasian river otter) is the source of this 1906-nucleotide long non-coding RNA. RefSeq lists it as uncharacterized. The record is from RefSeq and is a predicted model, not a curated record. NCBI's taxonomy places the organism in Eukaryota, Metazoa, Chordata, Mammalia, Carnivora, Mustelidae. The transcript is spliced from 3 exons.
UUUUCCUCCGCGGUUGUUCUCGCGGGGCGUCCCCGGCGCGAGGCUCGCGCGUCGCAGCAGUGCGGGGAUUAGCCCAGGUGCGCCCCCCAGCAGCGUGGAGCGAGGAUUCCCCGACUCUAGGGACCGCUGCUCUUCUCCCACCUGCUGCCAGGUGUCACACGAGGGCUUUCUGUGUUCGUGGUUCACGUCUGGGAGGCGGACCCGCGGUGCCACUGAACAAGCUGAGGCCACUGCCUGGGGACUAACUCACCGCUACACGACGUCAGUAACCCCCUGCGAGGCUGCUGCCCACAGACCUCCUUCUCUCUCAGUGCUGUGGAACGGCCCACCAUGGCCAAGUUAGGGUACAGGGCCACUGUAGCCGAGGUUCCUGAGUCUGACGACCCACAUUCACAGGGACAAGCCCAGCCCUAACCAGCUUUCUUAGAAAUAGUUUGUGGGGGGGUUUUUUGUUUUGUUUUGAGGUUUGAUUAAAUCAAGUAAAAUGGAUAGAUCUUCAGUGUAGAGCUUAGAGAGUUUUUAUGGGUUAUGGUCACCACAACCCUGGUGCAGAUACACACGUGAUUGGAGUUGAGUAUGUUGAGUCAGCAAAUUCCUCUCCGCGCCUGGACGGGGUGGGGGAUGGGAGUCGGGGCAGUACCUAAGGCGGAGGUUCUCAAAUGUUAUCAGCAUCAGAAUCACCUGGAGGGCUUGUUAAAACUCAGAUUGCUGGGCUUCACCCCAGAGCUUCUGAUUCAGUAGGUGUGGGGGUGGGCUGAGAAGUUGCAGUUCUGACAAGUUCCCAGGUGAUGCCGAUGAUGCUUUCCUUCGGGGCCACACUUCGAGAACUCCUGGGCUCGGGAACUGCCAGUAAAAGUUAAGCUGCCUGGUAUUUAUAACCAUACAAAGAAGGAAAGGCCGUUAGCAGAACAUCUUUAAAAUGUGUCAGCCAGGUUUUUGAUGGAUGGUCUGUGGGGGCUGACCUUCUCUUGCCUGCCCCAGAGCUCUUUGGUGAUCCUGUCCGCUUCUAGCAAAGGGGUCCACAAAGUUUCAAGCAUGGAUUGGGUCAGUACAAACUCAACGAGCUCAAAAGGAUCCAUAUGCUUUUAAAAACUAGAAAACCCAUUUUACCUUUUUAGAGUCAGAGGACUGGUAUUUGUAAAUUGUUUCGAGAUCCUCAGAAGUCUGCACCUAUUGCUAGGGCAUUUUAAACAUUUUUAAAAGGAGGACUAAUAAGUAUAUACUUGGCUUUUGUUCUCGGUUUCUGACACACACCUCCUAAAACCCUUAGAAUCUCUAAAGAAUGGGACAAACGAAAUGCACUAAUACGCCGGGGCUAGAAGGGGUGGGGGAACAGGCAUGGCCAUGCUGAGUGAAGACCGGAUAGGAAAGCUGUUUCACAUUCUGGGUGUUUUCUCCUUUUUGUUAGGACUCGUGCCCUACUUCAUCCCGUCUGUCUCUAGAGGCUAUCUUUCUCUACUUCGCAUUGUUCUUCAGAAGAAACACAGGAAACACAGGAAGACAUACCCUAAGACAGCUGAUUUCCCUUCACAGCUCCAGAAGUACUAGGCGCUUAGAACAUUUUUAAAGCCUAGGAAUCGGACUAACCCAGAAAAUAAGGAGCAUUGAUGAGGUCACUCAUGGAUACAGUAAACACUCAACAGGAAGUUAUUUACUCUACCUCAGAUUAAAAAUUUGAAAUCUUACUUGCCAGUUAAAUAAAUUUCACCCUGGCACUCAUCUGCUCCGGAACCCAUUCUCUUUUGACUGCUUGUAUUUCUAGGGUGAGCAACAUCUGGGCCUUGUGGGGGCCCUUUCCUUCUUCCUCUUCUUCUCUCUACUGCUGAGCCGGCUGCCUCCCACCGGUCACCAUCACCCAGAGGGAUUUCAGGUCAGGCUAGCCCUCUCCCAGCAUUUAAAUAAUUUA